This 1476-nucleotide long non-coding RNA is filed under the name Sus scrofa (pig). Its description in RNAcentral is "lncRNA (ENSSSCG00030012650.1)". The record is from RNAcentral. Lineage: Eukaryota; Metazoa; Chordata; Mammalia; Artiodactyla; Suidae.
GUGACAGAAGAAAAUGCUUGAAGUUCCCAGAGCCGAAUUCCCCAAACUUCAGUACAAAUGACAACUAUACAUUAACAAAAGCAAGCUGAACUCAGAGUCUUCCAGAUUCAUCCCGAAGAUGGGCCUACUUUGGACACCUGUGUAAACUGUCUCAAACUGCGUUAUUUCCUGGUGUGAAUUUCUGAUAUGAGAGUGAUCUGGUGGGAUUUCAGGGUUUACAGAUCAGUACUGCUCCCCAUGUUAUUAAAACAACAACAAAACAGGUUAUUUGUGGGUAACUGAAAUAAUACCUAGUUAGCUUUUGGGGUGACCAAAUGUUAAUUUAAGCAAGGGGCAUAGUUCUGGCCGCUUUUCUUUGUUGAAAAAAAAUGAAUGAAUAGCGAGCCCAUUAAAAACCUUCCUCUAUCAGAGCCUAGCUGUGGAGAAACUUACUUAAUGGAUCUGCUGAUAAUGACUUUGCAAAGAACCACUACUGUUAUUUUGUCAUAUACUACCCUGUCUCAGAUGUCUUUACUGUUAGGGUAAAGACACCCUAAUCUACUGUUAGGGUAAAGACGCCCUCACCUUAAUCCAGAGACUCAUCACCUUCUACCAAAGCUACUAUGACAACUUCCUGGCUAGACUUCUGCCUGCAGCCUCAUGUAUAUCCUAGUUCACGGUGGGUCUAGCUGGCUCAGAAAUCAUCCUAAAAGGUCAUGUUCAUGCUAUUAAUCCCUUUUCAAGGACUUGCAGUGGCACCCCACUGUUGAUCUCAUUAGGUUAAAACACCUUAUUCUCUGCAUCAGUAUGAGUACACCCUCUCUGCUCUGCCCAAAUUGGAACAGCCUGGAGCUUUUAUUUAUGCUCUUCCAUCAUUUUUUUUUGGGGGGGGGUCAAAUUUUUACCCAUCAAGCAAUUUGGCAAUAUGUACUGGGUCUUAAUUUUUUCCUACUCUUAAGGAAACAAUUCUUCAUAUAGAAACUCAUUUCAUGUACAAAGAUGGCCAUUACAGUUACUUAUAUACUAUAUAGUUAAAAGUUACAACUUAAAUGUUUAGCAAAGGAGAAAGAAUUAAGUGUGGUCCAUUUAUAAAACAGACAUAUAAAUGACAUUGUUAACACAGCAUAAAGAAUUAAUGUAAAAAAAAAUACUUAUGUUCCAACAGAGGAGAAAAAAAAAUUGAAGUCUGUAUAGAGCAUGAGCUCAAUUAAAAAAUAGGGAAGAACUUUUAGAAAUACAUAUUCCAAAACUGUCAAGAGAGGUUAUCUAUGGAUGGCACGAUUAUGGGUUACUUCUAGUUUUUUGUUUUUCAUACUUUUUCAGUGAUAUUUUAAUCAAAACAAUGUACUUUUUUCUUUUUAUAUCUUUUAUUGCUUUUGUUUCUGAUAGUUAAGGUAAUUCAUACCUAUUGUUAAAAUUUCAGACAAUAUAGAAAUACAUACAUUUUUAAAAAAUAAAAAUCACCUAUAAUUUCAAUAAAAGAAUCACCUAGUGAUA